GGUUCGAUUCUGGCUCAGAUUGAACGCACUGGCGGGAUGCUUUGUACAGGUGGAGCAGCACGGACCUGAUCGUGGCGAGUGGCGAACGGUGGAAAUAAUGUAUCGGAACGUGCCUAGUAGCGGGGGGAUAACUACGCGAAAGCGUAGCUAAUACCGCAUACGCCCUUCGGAAGGCGGGGACCUUCGGGCCUCGCACUAUUAAAGCGGCCGAUAUCGGAUUAGCCGUUGGUGGGUAACGGCUCACAAGGCGACGAUCAGCUGGUUUGAGAGGACGACCAGCCACUGGGACUGAGACACGGCAGACUCCUGCAGGAGGCAGCAGUGGGGAAUUUUGGACAAUGAAACCUGAUCCAACCAUCGCGUGCUUGAUAGAAGGCCUUCGGGUUGUAAAGCACUUUUGGCAGGAAAAGAAACGGCACGGGAUAAUACCCCAUUGCAACGCUGACAGUACCUGCAGAAUAAGCACGGCUAACUACGUGGCAGCAGCGCGGUAAUACGUAAGUGCAAGCGUUAAUCAGGAAUUACUGGGCGUAAAGCGUGCGCAGGCGGUUCGGAAGAAAGAUGUGAAAUCCCAGAGCUUAACUUUGGAACUGCGCAUUUUUAACUACAAGCUAAAUUAUGGUGGAAUUCCCGUGUAGCAGUGAAAUGCGUAGAUAUGCGGAGGAACACCGGCAGCGAGGCAGCCUCCUGGGAUAACACUGACAGCGCUCAUGCACGAAAGCGUGGAGGCGAGCAGGAUUAGAUACCCUGGUAGUCCACGCCUAAACGAUGUCAACUACUUUCGUUUGGGGCAUGGAGCCUUGGUAGCGCAACUAACGCGUGAAGUUGACCGCCUGGGAAGUACGGUCGCAAGAUUAAAACUCAAAGGAAUUGACGGGGACCCGCACAAGCGGUGGAUGAUGUGGAUUAAUUAGUGCAACGCGAAAGACCUUACCUACCUUGACAUGUGCGGAAUCCCGAAGAGAUUUGGGAGUGCUCCUUAGGAAACCGGAACGCACAAAGGUGCUGCAUGAAACAAUGAUCAGAAAAAGCUGGCAAUGGUGUAGAGAUGUUGGGUUAAGUCCCGCAACGAGCGCAACUGUACUUGUCAUUAGUUGCUACGAAAGGGCACUCUAAUGAGACUGCCGGUGACAAACCGGAGGAAGGUGGGGAUGACGUCAGGUCUCAUGGCCCUUAUGGGUGAGGGCUUCACACGUCAUACAAUGGUCGGGACAGGGUCGCCAACCCGCGAGGGUAAUCCCAGAAACUGAUCGUAGUCCGGGAUCGCAGUCUGCAACUCGACUGCGUGAAGUCGGAAUCAACUAGUAAUCGCGGAUCAGCAUGACCAUGAGGUGAAUGCGUUCGGGUCUUGCACACCGCCCGUCACACCAUGGGAGUGGGUUUUAGUAGUUAGCUAACCGUAAGGAGGGCGAUUACCACGGUAGGAUUCAUGACUGGGGUGAAGUCGUAACCGAGGUAG
RNAcentral lists this ribosomal RNA (1459 nucleotides) under uncultured Bordetella sp. Its description in RNAcentral is "partial 16S-23S ribosomal RNA intergenic spacer". It matches the Rfam family "Bacterial small subunit ribosomal RNA". The record is from RNAcentral. Lineage: Bacteria; Pseudomonadati; Pseudomonadota; Betaproteobacteria; Burkholderiales; Alcaligenaceae.